This is a non-coding RNA of Ictidomys tridecemlineatus (thirteen-lined ground squirrel), 2017 nucleotides long. The record is from RefSeq and is a predicted model, not a curated record. NCBI's taxonomy places the organism in Eukaryota, Metazoa, Chordata, Mammalia, Rodentia, Sciuridae.
UCUCGGGCCCUCUAACCAGGCUGGAAGAUCCUUUUUCCAGAGGGAUCCCCCCAUACCAGAAAGAGAGGAAUGGGGAACCGAGACGUGAAGCAGAACCUGCCAAGGUCCCAACCCUUGUCACUGGACUGCUCUUCCUCGUGACUGCCCUCUGUCCGUCAAACUUAAGCACAAACAUGUAGAGUUUUUCUUGUUUCUUUACAGCUCCUGCAUCAGUGACAUCAUGAUGCUGAUGAGGUCAUGAGAUGUCCUUGGAGAAAGUGGGAACUCCCCCCUUGCCUCCCCGAUCCUGCUCACGGAGCACUGGGGUGGUCCCCGACUUUCUGUUGUCCAGCACAACUUCCAAGGCACCGCUUCUGCCUGAGGAAAUAUCAUGGGGUGCUGCUGAAGACCUGCGAGGCCAAGAUGAGGAGAGGCUGUGGGUUCCAGUGUGGAGCGAGAGAGACCUCCGCCUCCACCUGGCAGUCAGGUGGGGCACCAUGCUUAGAAGGGCCCACCUUGGUUUCGUGUUCGUUUGUCUCCAUCCUGAAAUAUCAAAUCAUUUUUAACAGAAGGCCCUGAACUCUCAUUUUUGGCUAGGCCUUGAAAAUUCAUCCUAGAGAAAGGCCACAGCUACCCCGAGAUCUGGAGACCAGCGGCAAGCCGUGGGGAAGGAACCAGUCCCAGGGUCUUCAUCAGCCACCCACCUAGAAGUGCUCACGGCCACAGAAAGAGCUUGCAGGGUGUCACCCACACAGAUGCCGCCUGUGGUCCAGUGACAGACAGAGGAAGGAUCUCGAGCUCAUUAAAGAAACCAAACGAGACCUCUUGACUGACAAGGUGUCUACAGGGAACUCACAAAUGCAUUCCGUGAUCCCUAAAGUCUAGAGAGCAAAGUCGAACGCCCACAGACCCCUUAGAUCUCCUCUCCUUCCCCAGCCCACUCCAGCCUGGGCAGAGGCAGAUGGCCGCCUAGUGAAGACGUGGGAGAAGAAGUUGCUGUAGAGGAGAACUCAACCAUUCCCAGUGCAGAUCUCCACAGGCAGAGGGUGGAGAAGAACCAGGAGAGAAAUUUUAACUCCAAGGGAAAUUCAGAAUUUUGAUGAUUAACACUGGUCUGGACAAUUAAGUUGUAAACUUGAAGUAUUUUUUAUCACCAAAAAACACUAAAAAAAAAUAAGGACUUUCCUUACCUGAGAGCGGCCAGAAACAUCCUGUGAUCUGUCUGAGAUGCAGCUGAGGAAGCAGAUCUAUCUACAGGGAGGCGUUUUGAAUGGCGGUCAUGGAAAAGACAGCAUAGUUUUCUCCCACGGCCACAGAGUUGCCCUUCCAACUCAACAAAGACAGCUGGGAAAGACCUUCUCUUGUAGAUCGUAUUAGUAAUUUCCCACAGAAGCUAUCUUUCUUGACCUUGUCUUUGAACCAGUAGCAUAAGAGUGAAAAAAGUCUUCAAAAACUAUAUUAACCUCAUAAAAUAAAUUGUGUGUUAAUUAGUAUGAGAGAAACAUCCUAUGAAGAUGCUGCUCCGGAAGGCUCCAUUCAAAGUGACCAGUAUUAUUUGGUAACAGAGCAAAGGCCAUCACCAAGCUUGGGACUAAAACUAAAGCAACACUUGGCGAUAAUGGAGUCUCAGUUGUAGGAGCUUGUCCUACCAGGGUCAUACCAAUAUUGUUAAAGAGAGGAAAUUAAAUGCACAAACAAGAAGGUCUCAAAGUACAAUUCAGAGUACAUUAAUGUGGUGAAAGAAAUGCAUAUUAAGGAAAUCCACAUUUCAAGCUGACCUCCCGUCCUGGACUCAAAGGGACACAUAUAGGAAGUGGUCUGGAGGACACCCUGUUGAGCCAGGACUGGAAUCUGAAAAGUCCAAGUCGAGCUAUCAGCAGAUUUGGCACCUAACGAAGUCCAGCUUCCUGGCUCAUGGAUGAGGAUUUCUUGCUGGGUCUGCACACGCUGCAAAAGGCAAGGGGGUUUCUCUGGCUACUUUCGUAAGAUCUCUAAUUCUGUAAAUCAGGGCUCCAUCCCCGUGACCUAAUCACUUCCA